This 388-nucleotide ribosomal RNA is filed under the name uncultured bacterium. RNAcentral's name for it is "bacterial SSU rRNA". It matches the Rfam family "Bacterial small subunit ribosomal RNA", at positions 28 to 417 of the family's 1533-position model. The record is from RNAcentral.
GACGAACGCUGGCGGCGUGCUUAACACAUGCAAGUCGAGCGGUAAGGCCCUUUCGGGGGUACACGAGCGGCGAACGGGUGAGUAACACGUGGGUGACCUGCCCUCAGCUCUGGGAUAAGCCCGGGAAACUGGGUCUAAUACUGGAUAUUACUCUGCGGUGCAUGCCGUGGGGUGGAAAGCCUUGUGCGGCUGGGGAUGGGCCCGCGGCCUAUCAGCUUGUUGGUGGGGUGAUGGCCUACCAAGGCGACGACGGGUAGCCGGCCUGAGAGGGCGACCGGCCACACUGGGACUGAGACACGGCCCAGACUCCUACGGGAGGCAGCAGUGGGGAAUCUUGCGCAAUGGGCGAAAGCCUGACGCAGCGACGCCGCGUGAGGGAUGACGGCCU